This 437-nucleotide ribosomal RNA is filed under the name uncultured Oscillospiraceae bacterium. RNAcentral describes it as "bacterial SSU rRNA". It matches the Rfam family "Bacterial small subunit ribosomal RNA", at positions 341 to 792 of the family's 1533-position model. The record is from RNAcentral. Lineage: Bacteria; Bacillati; Bacillota; Clostridia; Eubacteriales; Oscillospiraceae.
ACGGAAGGCAGCAGUGGGGAAUAUUGGGCAAUGGGCGAAAGCCUGACCCAGCGACGCCGCGUGAGGGAAGAAGGUCUUCGGAUUGUAAACCUUAGUCAACAGGGAAGAAGCAAGUGACGGUACCUGUGGAGGAAGCCACGGCUAACUACGUGCCAGCAGCCGCGGUAAUACGUAGGUGGCGAGCGUUAUCCGGAUUUACUGGGUGUAAAGGGAGUGUAGGCGGGACUGUAAGUCAGAUGUGAAAUAUGCCGGCUCAACUGGCAGACUGCAUUUGAAACUGCGGUUCUUGAGUGAAGUAGAGGUAAGCGGAAUUCCUAGUGUAGCGGUGAAAUGCGUAGAUAUUAGGAGGAACAUCAGUGGCGAAGGCGGCUUACUGGGCUUUAACUGACGCUGAGGCUCGAAAGCGUGGGGAGCAAACAGGAUUAGAUACCCUGGUA